Molecule: long non-coding RNA, 1193 nt
Filed under: Bos grunniens (domestic yak)
Lineage: Eukaryota; Metazoa; Chordata; Mammalia; Artiodactyla; Bovidae
Description: lncRNA (ENSBGRG00000014726.1)
Source: RNAcentral
AUGCUCACAAGCACCCCAGUGUUAGGGACAGAGAGAAAAUGCCCACCUUGGGUCUGCAGGAGACCAGAAGACCGUCAGCGUGAAACGUCUGGGCACAUUGCAAAUUUGCAGCUUCCUGUAGGGUCGCCUUGGCCCAGAAACCGCAGGAAUCUGCCCUCGCACUGCGGGGGAGAGCAAGUUUCCAGGCUCCAAGCACUUAUCACACGUCGUAUUGUGUGUCUGUCUCUGGGUGGCUUCCCUUGCGAGGUCCCACAGCGUCACAAGGCGGGGGACUCAGUUGGGGCCCAAUCCAUGCUUAAACAUGGGAUGCCAGACUCUAUCCAAAACCUCGCAGUGCCUUCCAAGUUCCAGAAUUGCCUGGCUGCUUCUACCGGCUUCCAGUCUUUCAUUCUUUCAAGUGCCAGCAAUCCAGACCAAAUCCUUCCCUGUGGCCCCAGCUCCCCCCGACCCUGCAACCCGCCUGCCCCCCUCAUGGCGCCCUUGCCUGCUUCCUCCUCUCUAUGCUGUACAGGGUCCAAGCUGAUGGGCAGCGGGAUGCUGCAGUGGCAGGGACACGGGUCUUAGGAGGAGAGGGUCCCAAGCCCUAAGUCAGCCCUGCUCAGUUCUGAAUCUGUGUUCUGAAUCCGUGUACAUCCUCUCAUUUAAUCCUUCCAAUGGCCCCAUGAGAUAGAGGCACAAGUACUAUUUCCACCUUAUGGAUGAGGAGACAAAUGCUCAGAAAGGCUAUGCUACUGCCCAAGACCACACAGCUUCUAAGUGACAGAGCUGGAAUUCAAACCCAGGUUGUCUGGCUUCAGAGCCUACACUUCAGACUGCAGUAAGUUGUCUCUGGCUUUCACUGUCUGGAUGGAAAUCCCAGCCCUGUCGUUUACUCUCUGCACGGCCCUGGGCAAGUGGUUGGGACUUCUCAGCCAUACUUCCUUAGUCCACAACCAUGCCCAUCACCCCUUGUUGCCUCGGGAAGAUUGAAACACUCCUGAAUGCAGAAGGGCUGAGAACUCAGCAUGGGGAGCCAUUUCUGCCCCCUACCUCUGGAGUCCCCCAGAAGGGUUUCCGCCUCCAAGAAGUGUAUUUUUUGGAGAGAGUUUUGAGGUUGUGGCCCCUCUCUGACCACCCUGUUUAUUUGGCAGGUGAGGACCCACAGCCCAGGGAAUUAUACAUUGUCCAAGGUCGCAUGCAGAGCUGGAAGGGGA